GCUGUUUGAGGUUGAAGAUGUUCAAGUCAGCAGCUGGUUGUGCAGCUGAUUCAAACAUUUCUGUCCUACAGAAGAUGUUCUGUCAUUUUUAUUCCAGACAGAAACAACUUGUAGCUGGCAAACCCCCGCUGGCAGGCAAAAGCUGUUCCUAGACCAGGUGCUCAGGGGAAGUUCAGCUAUCAGGCCCUCUCUUCUCUCCUCCUGUCCCCAUUUUCUGUGCCCUUCACCCACAUCUCCUACGCCAGGAGAUGGCUGCAAAGGAAACCAUGGCAGCUCCAGGACAUGAAGUGUUCCGCACCAAGCAGUUACUUAGUUUUUAUCUAUUUGAGCAGUAAAUCCUUUCCCACGCUGGCAUAUUAUGACACUAAUUCUCCCUUAUCAAUAUAUCCCUGACUGGCAAAUGCACCCAAAGCAGAAGGGUGAAAAGCCUGAAAAUAAGAUCUAUGCUUCUCAGUAUAUGAGGAUCAGGAAAAGGGUAUUUAAUAGAGCAUUUAUGAUAAGGAUGCUAUCAGUCACCAUGCUUGCAAGCUCUUCAUGUCAAGUGGGUGAGCAGGCUCCUCUCAUGGGGUUCCUCCUGCCCUUCUUGAACACGGUGUCAUAGGAUCAAAGGAUAACUGAGGUUGAAAGGGACCUCAGGGUCUCUGCUCCAACUUCGUGCUUCGGGAAGCAGAGCCAGCUGAGAGAGCAGCGUGGGUUACUUGGGUCUUGAACAGGAUGGACACCACAACUUCUCUAGGUGACUGGUGCUUGACUGUCCUCAUGGUGAGUCACUUUCUCCUUAGACACCGUCUGAACGUCUCUCCAGUUUUUAUGCCUGUUGAUCUCCUCCUGCCAUGCACCCUCUGAGGAGCUUGGUCACAUCUUCUCAAUGCCCCUGUGUGGGUUACGCUCCUGCGGUUCCUGCUGGCCCAUUUCUCCAGCCUGCUGUGGGACAGCAGCCCUGCCUCCAGUGUAUCAACCAGACCCCCCAGUCUGGGGCCGCCCACAAACUUGCUGAGCAUGGACAGUGAUCAGAUUGUGGCCAGAAGCCCAAGGCGCUCCUGCCCUUUGCUUUUCUCUCUCCCAGCUCUGUACUCUCAAGAAAUCUCCAGCAGAAAUGCCUGUGCCCAGAGCCAGCAGGACCAACCUCAUCUUACAUCAGCGAUGCCACUGCUGCCCCUUGCAGCCCCAACUCCCAUGUCACUCGCAGCUUCAAAGCCACUGUGGGGCUGGACUGGCUUUUUCUUGGCAUGCAAGUGAAGCAGAGAUGGGCUCAGGUCUGAAACCUCUCCAGAGCAGGAAAUCCCCGAGCAAAGCUAGGGCCUCUGCUCAGCCCACCACUGUUUUCACUGAGCGAGCUGCUGGGGAAGCACGAAGCCCAAUUACAAGACAAAGAACAAAAGUCCCAGGGGAACAUCGCCAGGGUAGUCAUCUCCACACAUGCAAAGGUCCCUUCUGCCUGGGUUUUUUUUUCCCCUUUGAAAUUUCAAAUUCCAGUUUGUGGACAAAGUCCUGCCUAUCUGAGAAUAUAGAUCUCCGACCACUGACCAAACUCCACUUAAAGCAGUCCUGAGGGCUGCUCUUCCCCUUGCCCAUGGAUGCCUCCGCUCAGUCCCUGGGUUUGCCGUAUUGCACCGAAACUUUUGCACCAGAGCAGAGCACUCAUACUCAUACAGAAAGCGGAUUUUGCUUGUUUCAGCCUAAAAGUCAGCAUCUCCCUUUCUCCUCAUGGAAUGGGAAGGACCAUCCAGAAUAACCAGGAGUGUGCCUGAAUAGGCUGUCUGGUCCCCAGCGUCCUCAACUGCCAGAGCACAGCAAGUGCCAGAGGGGUAAGUGGGAGCAAAACAGUAUUCAGGAGCUCCAUGUCCACAGCAGAUCCGCACUCCUGCAGCCGGUGGCUACCAUAGCGUUCUGCACAACACAACCAUCCUGUCUACUGACACAGAAACAAAAAAAACACAGCAGAAAGCAAGGGAUGGGAACAUCGGAGCUUUCUACACGCAAGGUUUGUUGCAUGGGGGACAGCAAGGGGGGGUGGGGAUGGAAAUCACACAUCUCCACAGUCCCAUAAACCCAUGGCCAGGACACUGCAGUGCCAACUGCCUGGCUCCUGGCUAACAAACAACACAGCAAACUGCUAACUAGCCUUUGAGUAUUUGACCUAUGUCUCCAAGACAGGAUAGCACUAUUUGUCCCUUAACGUUCCUGCAAAGCCCAGUGCCGUUGGCCUCUUGUAUCAUAAAGAUAUUAAAAUAUAUUAUGACCAUAAACUACAUCACUUGAGGAAAUGAACCAUUUCUAGUAAACGUGUCAUGGGACGCCGAAGCCAUGAACUAUUCUAAAUUAAUCUCUGGCUGAUAAAGAGCGCAGGUAUUUGCUGGGAGCAGCUUCCAGUGUGUGGCUGCCCACGCAGCGCUGGCAUGGGGAGCUCAUCCCGCAGGAUAGUGGCUCAGGGUGCAGGCUGCCCCAGGAGGCAUAAACCCCACUGCCAGUGCAAGCCCUGCUUCAGGGGAAUUGCUCAAGCAAGAGGAGCCCCAAGAAUUUUGCUGUGCCCCAGGGUCGAGUGGGGGCUGUUGGGGUGUUUUGUGGGCGAGGCUCUGCGGGGCAAAGCAGUCCAGGGCUCAGGAUGCACCAAACACGUCCGAGUGCCUGCAGACCCCCCUGAGCACCCUGAGCCCAGUCAGGCUCCUCGCUGCCUCGCCUCCACGCUGAGGUCCCUGGGGUGCUGGGGCCGAGGGGCUGAGCACAGAGCCAGCUGGUGGGGGAUGUGCACUGGAGGCGGCCGUGGAGGGGGACCCAAAAAACCUUUCUAGUAAGAGCUCUGUACAACCGAUAAGGUUUGCAUUGAAACUUCUUCUCUCAGUUCCUUUCAAGCUUUCAUUAUGAGGGCUGGGUAAGUCCUGCUGCAGACCUCUUUGGGUAAGGAGCAGGCAGCAAACAGGGCAGGACCAGAGGUUGUCCUGCAAGCCGGCAGGAUCCGUCCCUGGGCCUGCUGAGGCUGCACCACGGGGCAGUAAUGCCAGACAGUGGGAUCUGGGCUGAGAAUGAUCAGUUCAUUUCCCAAAUGGCACAGGCAGUCACCAGGGUGUCCGUGGGACGCCAGCCUGGCUCCACCACCUCUUCCCCCAGGAGUCACAACACCCACUCCCCCAUGCCACCCGCACUGGAGUGUCCCUCUCGAGACCCUCGGAACUGAGCUUGGGGACAUCAGCCAUUGCUACCCACAAACCUGGCAUGUUCACUCCGCACGCAGCAAAACAGAAACCAGAGACAUGGGAGGACCCUCAGAGGGGGACUAGCAAUAGGUAUGUGGGGGAAGAGCAGAUUUUGGCUGCUCUGAAACCCCGCUGGAGACCCUGGGGGUUGCCAGUGCCCUUCACUCACAUCAACUCCGCAGGGCUGGCUAUGCAGCUACUUCUCUCCCUGCUGCGAGUGCCAGGGGGAGCACGGGGGGUACCUGGUGUUUCCUGGAGCAGGUCGUAUCUGCUGCCAUUCAUCUUCCAGGGGCGCUCAGCUCUGCGGGCAGAGCUAGGGGAGUCUGGCCCUUGGAUGGGGCGGUCCAGCCAACAAGCCCCCCAUGGGCAGCAGGGCACGAGCCAUGCCCGGGAGCUGGCUGCGGUGCGGUGGCAGGGACCGGCUAAUCCCUUAAUGCUGGUCACAAUGAGAUUUGAUGGGGAGCAGGAGUUUGUGCUGCAGAGUUGCAGGUUUUAAAGGGUUCUGGCCACUACCCGGAGGGGAAUUAUAAGGUGGCUCCAGGUCUGUGCUCUACUGCUGGUGCCCACAGCAAUGCCCGCUGCUUUCUGGGCCACCUUUCCAAGGUGCCCUCACCCUGGCCUCUAGCCUGCCUGGGUUUCUGUGGGGCAGGGGGUGCCCAACCACACAUGCACCUCUGGAGGCUGCUCCAGAAAAUGUGCCUGGGUGUGUUUAACAGCAGGAGUGGGCCUAAAUUCCUCUCCAGGGAGAGUCUGACCACUUUCACUUUAAAAUGUUUCUAUAUAAAUACCCAGAACACCAUAUCCUUGAGAAACCACCUUUUUCUCCCCCUCUAGCCACCACCACAACACGCAGGGCUGGGAGAUGCAGGGGCAAGGCAGGAGAGCAGGCAGGAGCUGCAUGCGUGGUGCUCCCUGCCUUUGGGCAGCCCUGAACUUUGUGUCCUGCAGACCCCAGAGAGCAUCUCCAGUGGUUCCAAACACCCUGGGGGUAUCGCUGCCAGAGCUCUCCCACGGCUCUUCAGGCGCCUGCAUGCUCUGUGCUGGUGUCAUCCUUUCCCCAUCCUCUCCCAAGGAAAUUGGGACCUGGAAAACUCUCAGGGCUGAGAUUUCUUAAUCAACCGUGCGUGUUGGUGCUGUCAAUGGGGAAUCCAGGAGCCCAGGCAGUCUGAGAUUUUGGCUAGUGUCUUGUGCCAUGGCCUGUCCGGGGCAAACCCAGCAGGAAUAAAAGGGAAUUUCCAACUGCCAGACUACAAGAGAGCCCUCUCUACCACCACAGUGCUGAACUCUCUGCGUUUUUUUCUGGAGAUGAAGCUGCUGUGACACUCUCGUGUUGAUUUAUUUGGCCCCGGUCCAGAGGGGAGCACAGAAGGCUGCUGAGCACCGAGAUUUUUCUCCGCUGCAGGGAGUGUGUGCUGGCAUGUGUGGCCCUGCUUAGCCUGGAGGAGGAAAAUUAGGUGAGGGAUUAGAGUGGCACUUCACUGGGUUUUGACAGACACUGAGCAAUAAAUUGAAUGCUGACAAGGAGAACUGGGCACCUUUACAAUGCAGCCCUGUGCUGUAGGACCAGGGCCAGAAGCAAGCAAGGCCUCACCAGCGUCCACACCCAGAAGAGCCAACUCGUGGCCAAGCCCGUCUGAAACACUCAUUUUCCUGCACUUCCCUUCCUCCUUGGAUGGAUUUCCUCCCACCAAGCCCACCUCUGCUUUUGCUGUGCUAAAGAGGAGACAGCUCAUUCCUGCCCUCCAGAGACAUCGGACCCCAAGCGCUACCUUGAAGGCAUGAGUCUAAUGGAGCAAAACCAUUCCUAAACCAUUCCCAUUCCAUCUUCGCGAGCCUCUGCUCUCACUCAGGGCUGCCUGGGAUGCAUUUGAAUUAAUUUGGAGCACACACAAUAAUCCCCUGAUGAGUCAGGGAUGGGAAAUGACCAGCAGACCCGUACUCCGGCUCCGUGCCCGGGGAAGGGGUGCACUGACAACAGGGGCUGAAGCCCAGCAUGCCCACAUGGAGCCGGGAGCAGCAUCAAGGGCAGGGCUGGGUUUGAACUGUGUGUGACCCCAUGACACCUCCCUUCACCGCUCUGUUUCCACACGGGUUUUAAUGCCUGUAACAGGGAAACACACCCAGGUCAACAGAGAUUUCUCCCAGACAGCAGCAGUCCCCCGUCACACACCCAUGGAUGGGCCAUGGGCAGCACCUGGCUCUGCUUCCACCAGGGUGUCCAUGUGGUGGCAAAGCCACCACCUCCAUCCCACCCCCAUUUAGCCCUUGACGGCAGCAGUCCCUAGGCAGGGGAGCAGCCAGGGCUGUGGAUCUGAAGCCCGGCUGUUUGCCUUCUUGCCCGUCCUGCCUCCUCAUUCCACCCUUCAUUUCCUGGUGCUGCCUUUGCCCUGCUGACGGCAGGCUCUCUGCAUGGGCUGGUUCCCUCAGGCACCCAUCGGUGCCUUCUCCGCUGCCAGAGCACCUUGACCUGGCCGAGGGUGCCUGUCCCUGGGGCAGGACCUGCUCCUGCUCUUGGGUGGUGGUGGCUGCAAGCGAGAGGCCAUACAGCUUGCUGGAUGGGAGCCUGCAGCACAGACAGGGCUUUUUUUUAUGGGGCAGUUGUUAUUUUAUUCCUUCUGCUGAGCCCCCCAGUGUUGCCCUGUCCAUUAACCUGACACCCUGCCCAACCCCACAGCCCAUGGCUAAAUUUCCUUGGGUGCUGUUAGCAGCAGUGAAUUCUCUUCCCAGGAUGAGCUGAUGCUUCUCACCAGGGUGGUGGGGUGGACCCUGCCAUCCCAGUGAUGGUGUGGGAUGAAGGAUUGCCCAGCCAGCUGGAAACUGGGGCAGGCUGGCACGCUGGAGAGGAACAGCAGCAGCUUCUUAUCAUGGGGCAUCAAGGAGCAUCAUCAUCCAUGGGGCAUCAAGGCUUUGGGGACCAUGUGGCAAAAUGGUGAGCCUCCCCUGGGAGCAGAGGGGGAGAGAAGUGGCCGAGUGGGGCAGGAGGAGCCAGGCCCUGCAGCCUCUGUGAACGGUGCUGGGCCAUAAACGCGGCACGGUGGCUGUCAUUUAUGUGUCAGCAAACACGUUGAGUGGGCUCGACUAUUGAUUCUGACUGCAUAAAAGAGUGUUGUGGCACUUGUUCAGGUUUGUGCAGGUUUUACAGCUCUUGUUCCAAGAAGUGCCUAUGUAUUUGGUUUUGUUUCUUCCUUCAGGUCUUCUGUCUGUUGACAUUGGCUCUCCUAACGUGCGUUGGGCCAUGCCAGGAAGCUGAGUGUACAGCUCUCCUUGCGUUUCCCACUUUCCCAGGGGUUAUCGCCUAUAAAAUCUCACACACACCCAUGGCUGGGACAGGUUUCUGGUGCAGAGGCAGGUGAAAGGUGCCUGCAGGUCCCACGUUGAUGGGUUUGGGUGCCUCAUGCUGGGUGGCAGGAGCUGAGCCACCCACCCUGACAGAUGGGUUUUAAGGUGGAUGGACAAAGCCACAGGGAAGGUGCUGCCCUGGGUAGCCUGAGGCAGGAUGAGCAAGGACAGAGGGCUGGAGGGCUGCGAUGAAAAUUGGAGUGUAAAACCAGCUUGGAUCUCCAGAGAAGGAGAAGGUGUCAGGGCUCCCAGAGCAUCAUCGCAGAGGAGAUGGCGCAUGCGUGGUGACCCACAGCAGGACACACACAGUAUCACCCAUUCCCCACCUCCAGUCUUUUUCCCACCAGGAGAUGCCAGCACCAGCUGAGCCCACAGUGACACCUUGGUGGCCGGGGGCUCAGAGGGCUUUGAGCCCACAGUGAUGGUCCCCAUCCAUCCCUUGGCACCGGGGCUGCUGGUACCAUGGGGAUGCAGCUGAAGUCCCUCCAGUGGCUGCAGCAUUUUGGGAUAGAAAGUCUGGUCCAGCCUUGCAGACCCUUCAGCUUUUGGGAGCCAGGAUCUGUGUCCUCCUCGGCUGCUUGUGCCUUUCCAUAGCCACUUGCUUUACAUGGAGCAGCUCCUCUCACACCUUUGGUGUAUCAUCCAGAGCCCAGAUUUACUUUUUGAGGCACUUGUUUCCUGAAGGGAUUUGCUGGGUAAUUUCUGUUGAUGCUUAGGCUGAAGCUUUGACGGGAGCCAUUUCUGGGAGUAAUUGCUUCUGGGACCUGGCUUUGCUUAGAGGUCCUGGUGGGAAUGUGGUGCCUCUGCCCAGCACAGGCGAGCAGAGCCAUCACCCCUGGGUUCACGAUACAGCCACUACCUUGAAAUUUGCCUUCUGUGAAAAUUCUGCAACAUUUGCCUUUUCCACAAACAUUUCUGCCAGGAACCUUGUUUGCUUGAAUAUUUGAGGAAAGCAAACAGAGAAGGAGCCUGAACACAAACAGUCAUGGACAUUUUUUUGCAGUCUUUGCCCCAUUCUAACCCCGAGCCCGCCAGCAGAGACACUUGCAGGUGUCCCCCCUGCCCAGCGUACCCCUUGGCUGUGCCCUAUGCACUGCCCCGUCCCUCGCUGCUGGCCCUGGUCCCACUGCAAAUAUUUCUGUCUUGAAAGAAAAUCACCCAGACCUUGCUGUCUGUGGGACCACCACCACUCACCACCCCUUUGCACUCACUUUAAAUAAACAUCAUUUUUUAAUGCCGUUUAAGAAAUGUCAGCAGAUGACUAACUGAGCAUGUCUGCCUUGCUGACCUACACCUGCUCUUCGGAGCUCAAAAUAGCUCUCAGACACUCCUCAAACCUUCCCCAGCCUCAUGCUGCUCCCCUGCCAGAGCUGGAGCUCAUUGCCCACUGAUAGCAGCCCUCUGUGCUCACUCCCCCUUAUAAAAAUACCAUCGUAUUUUCAGGCGAAGCCGGACGAGGGUGUGCUGCUGGCCCGAUAAGCAGCCGUGGUGAGGCAGCUGCCCCGGCCUGAUGGAAGUUGCAGCCCUGUGGGCAAGCGCAGCUGCCCGGUGACACUGAGCAGCAUCCCUGCAGCCUGACGCUAUGGAGGGAGCAUCCCCAGCUCUUCCUGAAGGAAACCUUCACCAAGCACUGGCAAACAGCACUCAGGAUCAGGCCAAGGUGUCUAAAGUAGUGAUUGUCCCUUUUGCAUCCCAUCUAAAUACCAGUGCUUAUUCCUGGGUGUGACAAGACCCUGCUCAGCCAUUUCUUGCCCUGCUAAGUGCUGACCCUGCCAGCACCAGUGUUAGGGCCACCCCCUGCAGGCAGCGGGGACAGCGAGAGUGGGGACAGGGAAGGGGGCUGUGCUGGGUGUCCGAAUGCCCACUGGUCCCUGACAGUCUCCAGGCCACGGACACAGAGCACAAGGAGUAAACAGAGGAGUUAAAUAGCAGUUGACAGGAGAAAUCAAGGGGGGAAAGCUCAGUUUGGGUCAUAUCUAGUGGAAAGCUAUAAAAGAAUUAGACCCAUGUGCCAAUGAAAAAUGGUUGCUUCACAGUGAAAAGUAAAAAUACUCAGAAA
This is a long non-coding RNA of Falco peregrinus (peregrine falcon), 8592 nucleotides long. RefSeq lists it as uncharacterized. The record is from RefSeq and is a predicted model, not a curated record. The transcript is spliced from 2 exons. Lineage: Eukaryota; Metazoa; Chordata; Aves; Falconiformes; Falconidae.